This is a non-coding RNA of Pelodiscus sinensis (Chinese soft-shelled turtle), 843 nucleotides long. The record is from RefSeq and is a predicted model, not a curated record. Lineage: Eukaryota; Metazoa; Chordata; Testudines; Trionychidae.
GAAUGGGACCUAUGAACCGAGGAAGCUCCUGAGAACUCCGACCUGAACAACGCUGCAUCAGAAUCCGAUGAGUAGUCAGACUCCGGCCAGGGAGGCGCAGAUGACGAAUGUCCUGUCACUGAUGGAGGAGCAAACUUGGCCAUUGCACUCGGGCAAACCCGAGUCUCUCGAUGAGGGCAUGCUGGCACCAGGAAGACCAGUCCCAGUGCUGGUGCCUGUUGCGGCACCAGGAGAACAGGUCCCAGUGCCGUGAGUGGAGCCAGCUGCAGCACCGGGAAAACCGGUCCCAGUGUCUGGGGUAGGGUUGAUGCCAGGAGAACAGAUCCCGGUGCCCGGAGUGGAGCUGGUUGCGGCACUGGGAGGACUGGUCUCAGUGUUGGUGCCGGUUGUGGUGCCAACAUGGAUGGCUGCGGUGCCAAAGUCGGUAUCGUUUGCGAGACGAACCCCGAAGAAGUCAACUUCAUCGGCGAUGGCGGGACCGACAUGGCCCAUGGGGCCAGUGCCAGUGAUGGUGCCGAAACAUGCAUCGGUGCUGAAGAGGCUGAUGCUGAAGGGUCCAGUGCCGACGACUAGAACGGCACCCCAGGAAAGCUGCUCAGCGCUGGUAUCGAAGAUGAUGAUGGUGCCGUAGAUGUUGCCGUGAGGCCAGGGUUAUACGGCACUAGUGCAGCCAAGACGGGGUCUAGUAGGCGACCCAGCACCGAGGGAGGUCGAGCCCAGUAGAGCGCCGAGUGAAGCCUGGCGGCCUGCGCCGAGGCCAGCACUGACGUGAAGGCAAGCGGGACUGGUCCCACAGGGGACGGUCCUGCUGCAUAAGCGACCGGUGCCGUCCAGUCACGUCGG